This 1359-nucleotide ribosomal RNA is filed under the name metagenome. RNAcentral describes it as "bacterial LSU rRNA". It matches the Rfam family "Bacterial large subunit ribosomal RNA", at positions 1582 to 2925 of the family's 2925-position model. The record is from RNAcentral.
UAGGUGAAGUCAAUGAUCCCAUGCUGCCAAGAAAAGCCUCUAGCGAGCUUCGAGCGGCCCGUACCCCAAACCGACACAGGUGGUCAGGUAGAGAAUACCGAGGCGAUCGGGCGAACUGUGGUUAAGGAACUCGGCAAAUUACCCCCGUAACUUCGGGAGAAGGGGGGCCACAGACUGUCAUACCCCACGCGGGUGGCAGCGGUAGGUGGCCGCAGAGACCAGGGGGAAGCGACUGUUUACUAAAAACACAGGUCCGUGCGAAGUCGUAAGACGAUGUAUACGGACUGACGCCUGCCCGGUGCUGGAACGUUAAGGGGACCGGUUAGUCCGCAAGGGCGAAGCUGAGAACUUAAGCGCCAGUAAACGGCGGUGGUAACUAUAACCAUCCUAAGGUAGCGAAAUUCCUUGUCGGGUAAGUUCCGACCUGCACGAAUGGCGUAACGACUUCCCUACUGUCUCAACCACAGGCCCGGCGAAAUUGCACUACGAGUAAAGAUGCUCGUUACGCGCGGAAGGACGGAAAGACCCCGGGACCUUCACUAUAGCUUGACAUUGGUAUCCGAAUUUAAUUGUGUAGGAUAGGUGGGAGGCUUUGAUCCGCGGACGCCAGUCCGUCGGGGAGCCAACGUUGAAAUACCACUCUGUUGAAUUUGGGUAUCUAACUUCGGACCGUGAUCCGGUUCAGGGACAGUGUCUGGUGGGUAGUUUAACUGGGGCGGUUGCCUCCUAAAAUGUAACGGAGGCGCCCAAAGGUUCCCUCAGCCUGGUUGGCAAUCAGGUGUUGAGUGCAAGUGCACAAGGGAGCUUGACUGUGAGACUGACAGGUCGAGCAGGGACGAAAGUCGGGACUAGUGAUCCGGCACCUGCGAGUGGAAGCGGUGUCGCUCAACGGAUAAAAGGUACCCCGGGGAUAACAGGCUGAUCUUCCCCAAGAGUCCAUAUCGACGGGAUGGUUUGGCACCUCGAUGUCGGCUCGUCGCAUCCUGGGGCUGGAGUAGGUCCCAAGGGUUGGGCUGUUCGCCCAUUAAAGCGGCACGCGAGCUGGGUUUAGAACGUCGUGAGACAGUUCGGUCCCUAUCCUCCGCGCGCGUAGGAGACUUGAGAAGAGCUGUCCCUAGUACGAGAGGACCGGGACGGACGAACCUCUGGUGUGCCAGUUGUCAUGCCAAUGGCACGGCUGGUUAGCUACGUUCGGAAGGGAUAACCGCUGAAAGCAUCUAAGCGGGAAGCUCGCUUCAAGAUGAGGUCUCCCACCCCUUUGAGGGUUAAGGCCCCCAGCUAGACCACUGGGUUGAUAGGCCAGAAGUGUAAGCCUGGUAACAGGUUCAGCCGACUGGUACUAAUAGGCCGAGGACUUGA